This 698-nucleotide unclassified non-coding RNA is filed under the name Viscum cuneifolium var. demissum. Its description in RNAcentral is "sequence contains ITS1, 5.8S rRNA gene, ITS2". The stretch from base 285 to 443 matches the Rfam family "5.8S ribosomal RNA". The record is from RNAcentral. Lineage: Eukaryota; Viridiplantae; Streptophyta; Magnoliopsida; Santalales; Viscaceae.
UUUCCGUAGGUGAACCUGCGGAAGGAUCAUUGUCGAAGGCCUGUAGAAUGUCGGUGGACAAGCGGACUUAUUGGAACAUAUGUGGGGGUGCACGGGGGAGUAGCCCUGUCACUAGUGUCUUGUGGAUGGGGAUGCGUUCUGGAGCCCGUGUAAACCCCGGUCCAACACCUGAAUCGGCAUCGAACGUGCCAAGGAUGCUCUAUGAGAAAAUCUCACCCCACCCCCCACCCCGCAUGCCGUGCACGUGGGAUUUUGGGAGGUGGAUUGUGCAAUCGUCACAUAACGACUCUCGACAAUGGAUAUCUCGGCUCCCGUAUCGAUGAAGAACGCAGCGAAAUGCGAUACAUGGUGUGAAUUGCAGAAUCUCGUGAAUCAUUGAGUUUUUGAACGCAAGUUGCGCCCGAAGCCAUUUUUUGGUCGAGGGCACACCUGCCUGGGUGUCACGCACGGAGUUGUCCCAGGGCCUCCUCCUCCGGUAGCAGACUCGUUUAUUUGGUUGGGUUCUCGGGGGAGACGGGAGCACGGGGGGUCGAUGUUGGUCUUCCGUUCUAUGUUGUACGGUUGGUCUAAAUUUGAGGUCCCAUGCGACAUGCGUCAUGACGAGUUGGGGAACACAUCGUUUGCCCCAUGUCGGUUGGCGAACCGCCUGCGGUCCCAUGGCCUAAUUGACACUUUGAUUGAGAAGCCAUCUAGGCCCC